Molecule: ribosomal RNA, 464 nt
Filed under: uncultured bacterium
Lineage: Bacteria
Description: partial 16S ribosomal RNA
Rfam family: Bacterial small subunit ribosomal RNA
Source: RNAcentral
ACGAACGCUGGCGGCGUGCUUAACACAUGCAAGUCGAACGGAAAGGCCCUGCUUGCAGGGUCCUCGAGUGGCGAACGGGUGAGUAACACGUGGGUGAUCUGCCCUGCACUUCGGGAUAAGCCUGGGAAACUGGGUCUAAUACCGGAUAGGAGCCAUUUUUAGUGUGAUGGUUGGAAAGUUUUUUCGGUGUAGGAUGAGCUCGCGGCCUAUCAGCUUGUUGGUGGGGUAAUGGCCUACCAAGGCGGCGACGGGUAGCCGGCCUGAGAGGGUGGACGGCCACAUUGGGACUGAGAUACGGCCCAGACUCCGACGGGAGGCAGCAGUGGGGAAUAUUGCACAAUGGGCGCAAGCCUGAUGCAGCGACGCCGCGUGGGGGAUGACGGCCUUCGGGUUGUAAACUCCUUUCGCUAGGGACGAAGCUUUUUGUGACGGUACCUAGAUAAGAAGCACCGGCUAACUACGUG